RNAcentral lists this ribosomal RNA (800 nucleotides) under uncultured bacterium. RNAcentral's name for it is "bacterial SSU rRNA". It matches the Rfam family "Bacterial small subunit ribosomal RNA", at positions 8 to 801 of the family's 1533-position model. The record is from RNAcentral.
AGAGUUUGAUCCUGGCUCAGAUUGAACGCUGGCGGAAUGCUUUACACAUGCAAGUCGAACGGCAGCACGGGAGCUUGCUCCUGGUGGCGAGUGGCGAACGGGUGAGUAAUGCGUCGGAACGUACCGAGUAAUGGGGGAUAACGCACCGAAAGGUGUGCUAAUACCGCAUACGCCCUGAGGGGGAAAGCGGGGGAUCGUAAGACCUCGCGUUAUUCGAGCGGCCGACGUCUGAUUAGCUAGUUGGUGGGGUAAAGGCCUACCAAGGCGACGAUCAGUAGCGGGUCUGAGAGGAUGAUCCGCCACACUGGGACUGAGACACGGCCCAGACUCCUACGGGAGGCAGCAGUGGGGAAUUUUGGACAAUGGGGGCAACCCUGAUCCAGCCAUUCCGCGUGAGUGAAGAAGGCCUUCGGGUUGUAAAGCUCUUUCAGCAGGAACGAAACGGUACGCUCUAACAUAGCGUGCUGAUGACGGUACCUGCAGAAGAAGCACCGGCUAACUACGUGCCAGCAGCCGCGGUAAUACGUAGGGUGCGAGCGUUAAUCGGAAUUACUGGGCGUAAAGCGUGCGCAGGCGGAUUGUUAAGCAAGACGUGAAAUCCCCGGGCUUAACCUGGGAAUGGCGUUUUGAACUGGCAGUCUAGAGUGUGUCAGAGGGGGGUGGAAUUCCACGUGUAGCAGUGAAAUGCGUAGAGAUGUGGAGGAACACCGAUGGCGAAGGCAGCCCCCUGGGAUAACACUGACGCUCAUGUACGAAAGCGUGGGUAGCAAACAGGAUUAGAUACCCUGGUAGUCCACGCC